GGCAAGAUGGCCGAGCGGUCCAAGGCGCUGCGUUCAGGUCGCAGUCCACUACUGUGGGCGUGGGUUCGAAUCCCACUCUUGUCA
Molecule: non-coding RNA, 84 nt
Organism: Trichuris suis (pig whipworm)
Lineage: Eukaryota; Metazoa; Nematoda; Enoplea; Trichinellida; Trichuridae
Source: Rfam